This 355-nucleotide ribosomal RNA is filed under the name uncultured bacterium. Its description in RNAcentral is "bacterial SSU rRNA". It matches the Rfam family "Bacterial small subunit ribosomal RNA", at positions 917 to 1269 of the family's 1533-position model. The record is from RNAcentral.
GGGCCCGCACAAGCGGUGGAGCAUGUGGUUUAAUUCGAUGCAACGCGAAGAACCUUACCAGCUCUUGACAUGCUAGGUUUCGGGUUUGAGAGAUCAGACCUUUCAGUUCGGCUGGGCCUAGUACAGGUGCUGCAUGGCUGUCGUCAGCUCGUGUCGUGAGAUGUUGGUUAAGUCCCGCAACGAGCGCAACCCUCGUCCUUAGUUGCCAGCAGUUCGGCUGGGCACUCUAAGGAAACUGCCGGUGACAAGCCGGAGGAAGGUGGGGAUGACGUCAAGUCCUCAUGGCCCUUAUGAGCUGGGCUACACACGUGCUACAAUGGCAGUGACAAUGGGACGCGAAGGGUGACCCGGAGCC